Long non-coding RNA from Xenopus laevis (African clawed frog), 2259 nucleotides. RefSeq lists it as uncharacterized. The transcript has 3 exons. The record is from RefSeq and is a predicted model, not a curated record. Lineage: Eukaryota; Metazoa; Chordata; Amphibia; Anura; Pipidae.
UUUCCCUGUAUGUCGGUGUCAUGUGGCUGCCGUGGAAGCAGCGGCAGGAGAGGGGAGUUGCCGCGAAAAGGAAGUGAUGCCGCCUCAGUGUCCUGUUACCUCAGACCGCCCUCGUCUCACAGGCUCCUCCCCAAAAAGCUUUGGGACUUCAACUUCGGCUCGUUUUAUGGCUUUGGGACUUUUCUGUGGUUUUCGGGACUCCAACUUCGGCUCGUGGCUUCAGGUCUUUUUUGGCAGCUUUUGGGUCUAAUUGGCGGCGGAUUUCAGCGGCUUCUUCGCGACUUAAAGGGGCCCGGCAAAUCCAGGAAGUGUUGUCCCCUUCAAGCUUCAAAAAACGCGGGGCCCGGUACAGCUAUUCCCGCUGUGCCCCCCUGAUGGUGGCCCUGCCUGGCAAAAUUGCUGUUGCAGAAGAAGACACAUUCAAAUCAUAGAGCCAUGUUAAUGUGUGUACAGAAGACCACAUGAAUCUUUAGAUAUAACACCAUAUAGAAGGAACCGUCUUGGAACAAUUCUUAUAAAAGAUCUCAAGCAGCUUCUGUGAUGGAAUGGGUGCUACUUCUGGAUCUGCAAAAAAUCUUUAAAAAUAACUCAUCUUAUUUGGUCUGUUGGUAGUACCCUGGAUAGAAAAAGUCAGCCUGGGAGAAAGGAUUGAAACCCAGCUUGCAGCUUUUACUUAGUUCCAACACAAAUCCACCUGAGACUGAUCCUAUUCAUACCUCACCAAACGGUUUUACAUACUUCCUGAGUUUGAUCCAGUCAUUAGGGACUUGUCUGUGGGUGGUUUUUGUGGGUUUGCUGUGGCUGUUUAGGUCUGAACUGAAACUUCCCUUUGGACUGGCCCUCUGCAGAGGGAGGUGAUGCCUUGGAGGAACAAAAUCCAGACCCUUAAAUAAAAGCCUCCUUGUGCCCAGAAUGAUCUUGUCAUGGACUAAGGGAGCAGAGAGGUUCUCCUCAGUUAGGAAAUCUUUUCAAGCUCUCUGAACAAGCAAUUGCCAUUAAACUCCAUAUACUCAGUGACACAGUCGUACCAAAAGCCAUCCCCUAGUAAUAAAUUUGCAUUAAAUAUUCUAGGUGCUCAAGGGGAGUUAUCCUGGAUACCAUCCUGGAGAGCCUGAACCCACAAAGUUAAUGCUCUGCUUGCCUAUGCACUGACAAUUUGAUCCUUAAAUGCAGCUGCAUUAGUCUCUGGGAGAGCUGUUUUUUUGGACAGUUGGGACACCAGGGCAUCAUCCUCUGAAGGAACACCUUUUUUCCAGGAAAUCCUUUGCAAACAGGAAUGUGAAGACGUGGAAAGAAUGCUUCUUUUUCUCUGAACUAUCUCAUUCAUCCUGAAUAAUAUCCCAAGGUUGAUUAUAAUAAAAUAAAUUAAGCAUUAUGUUUACACCAGUGCUUAAACAGGUCAUUGACCCUGACCUGAGGGUUCCUAAGGUCUAAGGAUAUCCUCUACAUCAUGAGGUACUUUUCUGUCUCUGUAACUUCCUUAGAGUCUGUACAUCUUAUUAUUGUUAUUUUCACCUUCCUCACUGGAUAACAUGCAGGAUAAAAUUGAACUAGAGGGGCUAAAAACAACUGUUUACAUGUGGUCCAAAGUACUUAAAAUUUCUUUUUUUCCUCAUAAAUUAUGCAGUUUGCAAUAACUUGCAAUCUAUUGGUAUGUAAAUGUGAGUUACCAUUUUUUAACAAAAUCAUCUGUAUAAUACAAGUAGAAUUGGGGAAAUGUAUUUGUUGCAGCAGUAUAUUUUUAGAGUAUAUGUCAAAUAUAGAAGGCAUUGAUUCACUUUUAAUUGUAAUAGGGAUUUGGAUGAACAAAGUGUUGCUUGAGGCAGAUCUGUAUAUGGAAGUAAAAUAAACAUUUAUUCAAAGAAAAUCACUUGAUUACAGUUUACAGAGAAUACUGAGAAUAUAUUUGGAUGCUCCAUUUCUGAAAGAAGAUGCCUGGUGAAUUAUGUAGAUUCAAAAAUCUAUUAUUAUUUAGAAAACAAGAUGUGAAAUAUGACCCUUCAAAGGCAAUCAACGAAGAAUUGUAGUAACCAAAAUUAAAAUCAUUAACAUGAGGACUCUUUAUAAGUGGCCCAUAUUAUUUUUAAAAUGACAUUUUGAAAAUAUACCUUAAUUACAUAAAGAAGCAUGGAACAUUUAUUUAUUGACAUACAAACAGAAACAAACACAAAAAAAAUACUGGCAUCAUUUACUUAAUCUGAACUCAAAAGUAGUGGAUCUUUUUAUAUUUCCAUAUCUUACCGUAUAUACUCGAGUAUA